Molecule: ribosomal RNA, 1972 nt
Filed under: human gut metagenome
Description: bacterial LSU rRNA
Rfam family: Bacterial large subunit ribosomal RNA
Source: RNAcentral
AAAAGUAAGUAAGGGCACAUGGCGGAUGCCUUGGCUCUCGGAGGCGAUGAAGGACGUGAUAAGCUGCGAUAAGCUGCGGGUAGGUGCAAAUGACCUUUGAUCCAGAGAUUUCCGAAUGGGACAACCCAAUAUCUUGAAGAGGUAUUAUCCAACGUUGUUGGAGGCUAACGCAGGGAACUGAAACAUCUUAGUACCUGCAGGAAAAGAAAAUAAACAAUGAUUCCCCCAGUAGUGGCGAGCGAACGGGGAACAGCCCAAACCAUCCAUGUUACGGCAUGGGUGGGGUUGUAGGACUACGUCGUUGCAUGAAGACAUCAGAGAAGAACUUUCUGGAAAGAAAGACCAUAGAGCAUGACAGUUGCGUAUUCGAAUGUUGUCGAAGCAUAGUAGUAUCCUGAGUAGCGCGGAGCACGAGGAAUUCUGCGUGAAUCUGCCGGGACCAUCCGGUAAGGCUAAAUACUCCCGAGAGACCGAUAGCGAACCAGUACCGUGAGGGAAAGGUGAAAAGCACUUCGAACAGAAGAGUGAAAUAGUUCCUGAAACCGUGCGCCUACAAGCGGUCGGAGCUCGUUAAUGAGUGACGGCGUGCCUUUUGCAUAAUGAACCUACGAGUUGCCUUUGCCGGCAAGGUUAAGUGUGACGACACACGUAUCCGAAGCGAAAGCGAGUCUGAAGAGGGCGUAUAGUCGGCAGUGGCAGACGCGAAACCAAGUGAUCUACCCUUGGCCAGGUUGAAGGCUGGGUAACACCAGCUGGAGGACCGCACCAAUAAGCGUUGAAAAGCUUCUGGAUGAGCUGAGGGUAGGGGUGAAAGGCUAAUCAAACUUGGAGAUAGCUCGUACUCCCCGAAAUGCAUUUAGGUGCAGCCUUGCGGGUUACUGAUGUGAGGUAGAGCGACUGAUAAGAUGCGAGGGCUUCACCGCCUAUCAAGUCUUGACAAACUCCGAAUGCGCAUCAGUUCUACCGCAGGAGUGAGGGCAUGGGUGCUAAGGUCCGUGCCCGAGAGGAGAAGAAUCCGGACCACCUGCUAAGGUCCCGAAAUGACAGCUAAGUUAAACUAACGAAGUCUGACUGCUAAGACAGCUAGGAUGUUGGCUUGGAAGCAGCCAUUCAUUUAAAGAGUGCGUAACAGCUCACUAGUCGAGGAGUCUGGCGUGGAUAAUAAUCGGGUAUUAAGUUGUCUACCGAAGCAGUGGGAUCAUUGAAAUGAUCGGUAGGGGAGCAUUCCAGUCAGCGUCGAAGGCGUACCGCGAGGUAUUCUGGAGCGUCUGGAAAAGCAAAUGUAGGUAUAAGUAACGAUAAAGGGGGCGGGAAACCCCCUCGCCGAAAGACUAAGGUUUCCUGAUCAACGCUAAUCGGAUCAGGGUAAGUCGGGUCCUAAGGCUCAGCCGAAGGGCGAUGCCGAUGGCAGAAACGGUUAAUAUUCCGUUACUACCUCCAGGAGUGAUGUGGAGACGCAGUAGUGACAAUGCCGCCAUCUGACGGAAUAGAUGGUUGAAGGGUGUAGAUGUUGAUCUUGGCAGGCAAAUCCACCAUGAGAAUCGAACCUGAUAGUAUGCCGCGUCCCUCGGGACAAGGCAAUAGUGCAUGUAAUCAUGCUGCCAAGAAAAUCCGCUAAACAAAAUCCUGUAGGUACCCGUACCGUAAACGGACACACGUAGUCGGGAUGAAUAUUCUAAGGCGCUUGAGUGAUUCACGGUUAAGGAACUAGGCAAACUGACCCUGUAACUUCGGGAUAAAGGGUCCCUACCCGGUGACGGGAGGGCGCAGAGAAUAGGUCCAGGCAACUGUUUAACAAAAACACAGGGCUGUGCUAAAUCGAAAGAUCCUGUAUACAGCCUGACACCUGCCCGGUGCUGGAAGGUUAAGAGGAGACGUCAUCGUUGAGAGAAGCGUUGAAUUGAAGCCCCAGUAAACGGCGGCCGUAACUAUAACGGUCCUAAGGUAGCGAAAUUCCUUGUCGGGUAAGUUC